UCCUGGUUACCUGAGCUGGCAGAGAGCUCCACUGGAAGUGGAAAGGUCUCGGGUUCGAUACCCGGACCAGGCG
RNAcentral lists this transfer RNA (73 nucleotides) under Ixodes scapularis (black-legged tick). RNAcentral describes it as "tRNA-Ser for anticodon GGA". The record is from RNAcentral. Lineage: Eukaryota; Metazoa; Arthropoda; Arachnida; Ixodida; Ixodidae.